GCAGCAUCCCGGGCCAUCACACAAGUUGCAGCCGCUCACAGAGUCGAGCUGCAGUUGCCUCAAGGAUUAUGUUGAAAUGAAGACAGAACGGCGAGUGGGGCUCGCUCAAGCUCUCUCCUCUAAUGCACUGCUGGGCAGCUGCCAGCAGUGCCUCAUGCUCUGUUGCGGUCCCAAAAUACUUCUGCCUGCAAGUGCAGAAGACAAUUAUGCAAAAUGCACAAGCUCCUUCCAAUGCACAGAAAGGGACACAAAGAAACCGAAGCACAGGUUCAGCAUUGCCUCGUUGCUCAAUCACUGCGGGACAAUUCUGACACAACCAAUCCUGAAGUGAUCACACAUGCCCCCGUUUCCACAAGCUGGCUUCUAAAUGACAAUAUGCAAGGUGCCGGCAUCAGGAGCAGUCAGUAAUACACCAAAUAGAUGGCUUUUCAAUAGUGGACUGCCCUAAAGAAUCAGAAAGCGCCCUAAUAAAUAAGCGUCAAGAGGCCUUGGUGUUCUUGCAACCCACCCACGGUCUUGCGGAGCACACCCAAAACACGGAUUUCUCGCUGCGUCAAAGCACAAUCACUGCCUGAUUUUGGCACUGAAGCGGCGGCCACACUCGAGCAAUAAGCCUUGCUGCCCUCCUUCUUGGAGACCUGCAUCGAUACUCAUUUUUCACCACCGAGUCCAAGCCAAACCGAUGCUGAUUUGUGAGGCCUGGGGUAAAGGGUACUCAAGAGACCCAAUUCUUACAGAUUUACAGGAGCCGUGCGCCAGUUUUCUGAGGGUAUGCUACGCUGAAGCCUGGUAAUUGACACUUGAUCCUCACCUUAGGAAACGAAAUUUAGUCGCGGCUAUCCAUGCCCCGUGCGAGGACGAGCCAUGAUUCACAAGUCGUGGGACUGCAAAAUUAUUCCCUGAAUCAUUCGAAAUUUUCU
This 920-nucleotide long non-coding RNA is filed under the name Coccomyxa subellipsoidea. Its description in RNAcentral is "long non-coding RNA (CSUB_LNC000358)". The record is from RNAcentral. Lineage: Eukaryota; Viridiplantae; Chlorophyta; Trebouxiophyceae; Coccomyxaceae.